CCUACGGGAGGCAGCAGUGGGGAAUAUUGGGCAAUGGAGGAAACUCUGACCCAGCGACGCCGCGUGCGGGAUGAAGGCCUUCGGGUUGUAAACCGCUUUCAGUAGGGAAGAAGCGAAAGUGACGGUACCUACAGAAGAAGCACCGGCUAACUAUGUGCCAGCAGCCGCGGUAAUACAUAGGGUGCAAGCGUUGUCCGGAAUUAUUGGGCGUAAAGAGCUCGUAGGUGGUUCGUCACGUCGGAUGUGAAAAUCUGGGGCUCAACCCCAGACCUGCAUUCGAUACGGGCGAUCUAGAGUGUGGUAGGGGAGACUGGAAUUCCUGGUGUAGCGGUGGAAUGCGCAGAUAUCAGGAGGAACACCAAUGGCGAAGGCAGGUCUCUGGGCCAUUACUGACACUGAGGAGCGAAAGCGUGGGGAGCGAACAGGAUUAGAUACCCUGGUAGUCCACGCCGUAAACGGUGGGCACUAGUUGUGGGAACCUUCCACGGUUUCUGCGACGCAGCUACGCAUAGUAGCCCGCCGUCGGGAGGUACGAACGUACGCGAAGAAGUUAAGUAACGUAACGUAAAGGUAAAGUUAGUUACGGUCGUUGAGACGUUCGCCGACGGACGACGACGAGGGAGGAGG
This 627-nucleotide ribosomal RNA is filed under the name uncultured bacterium. RNAcentral's name for it is "bacterial SSU rRNA". The stretch from base 1 to 521 matches the Rfam family "Bacterial small subunit ribosomal RNA", at positions 338 to 873 of the family's 1533-position model. The record is from RNAcentral.